This 449-nucleotide ribosomal RNA is filed under the name uncultured bacterium. RNAcentral's name for it is "partial 16S ribosomal RNA". It matches the Rfam family "Bacterial small subunit ribosomal RNA", at positions 29 to 523 of the family's 1533-position model. The record is from RNAcentral.
AACGAACGCUGGCGGCAUGCCUAACACAUGCAAGUCGAACGAGACCUUCGGGUCUAGUGGCGCACGGGUGCGUAACGCGUGGGAAUCUGCCCUUGGGUUCGGAAUAACAGUUAGAAAUGACUGCUAAUACCGGAUGAUGACGUAAGUCCAAAGAUUCAUCGCCCAAGGAUGAGCCCGCGUAGGAUUAGCUAGUUGGUAAGGUAAAGGCUUACCAAGGCGACGAUCCUUAGCUGGUCUGAGAGGAUGAUCAGCCACACUGGGACUGAGACACGGCCCAGACGCCUACGGGAGGCAGCAGUGGGGAAUAUUGGACAAUGGGCGAAAGCCUGAUCCAGCAAUGCCGCGUGAGUGAUGAAGGCCUUAGGGUUGUAAAGCUCUUUUACCAGGGAAGAUAAUGACAGUACCUGGAGAAUAAGCUCCGGCUAACUCCGUGCCAGCAGCCGCCGCCG